Molecule: ribosomal RNA, 729 nt
Filed under: uncultured eukaryote
Lineage: Eukaryota
Description: SSU rRNA
Rfam family: Eukaryotic small subunit ribosomal RNA
Source: RNAcentral
CGGGUGCACUGAUCCGGCCGGGCCUUUCCCUCUGUGGAACCCCAUGGCCUUCACUGGCUGUGCGGGGGAAACAGGACUUUUACUGUGAAAAAAUUAGAGUGCUCCAGGCAGGCCUAUGCUCGAAUACAUUAGCAUGGAAUAAUAGAAUAGGACGCGUGGUUCUAUUUUGUUGGUUUCUAGGACCGCCGUAAUGAUUAAUAGGGACAGUCGGGGGCAUCAGUAUUCAAUUGUCAGAGGUGAAAUUCUUGGAUCUAUUGAAGACUAACUACUGCGAAAGCAUUUGCCAAGGAUGUUUUCAUUGAUAAGGAACGAAAGUUAGGGGAUCGAAGGCGAUCAGAUACCGUCGUAGUCUUAACUAUAAACUAUGCCGACUAGGGAUCGGACGAUGUUAUUUCUUGACGCGUUCGGCACCUUUCGAGAAAUCAAAGUGCUUGGGCUCCAGGGGGAGUAUGGUCGCAAGGCUGAAACUUAAAGAAAUUGACGGAAGGGCACCACCAGGGGUGGAACCUGCGGCUUAAUUUGACUCAACACGGGGAAACUCACCAGGUCCAGACACAGUGAGGAUUGACAGAUUGAGAGCUCUUUCUUGAUUCUGUGGGUGGUGGUGCAUGGCCGUUCUUAGUUGGUGGAGUGAUUUGUCUGCUUAAUUGCGAUAACGAACGAGACCUUAACCUGCUAAAUAGCCCGUACUGCUCUGGCAGUUCGCCGGCUUCUUAGAGGGACUAUCGG